This 497-nucleotide ribosomal RNA is filed under the name uncultured bacterium. RNAcentral describes it as "partial 16S ribosomal RNA". It matches the Rfam family "Bacterial small subunit ribosomal RNA", at positions 28 to 507 of the family's 1533-position model. The record is from RNAcentral.
GAUGAACGCUGGCGGCGUGCCUAAUACAUGCAAGUCGAGCGAACGGACGAGAAGCUUGCUUCUCUGAUGUUAGCGGCGGACGGGUGAGUAACACGUGGAUAACCUACCUAUAAGACUGGGAUAACUUCGGGAAACCGGAGCUAAUACCGGAUAAUAUUUUGAACCGCAUGGUUCAACAUUGAAAGACGGUCUUGCUGUCACUUAUAGAUGGAUCCGCGCUGCAUUAGCUAGUUGGUAAGGUAACGGCUUACCAAGGCAACGAUGCAUAGCCGACCUGAGAGGGUGAUCGGACACACUGGAACUGAGACACGGUCCAGACUCCUACGGGAGGCAGCAGUAGGGAAUCUUGCGCAAUGGGCGAAAGCCUGACGGAGCAACGCCGCGUGAGUGAUGAAGGUCUUCGGAGCGUAAAACUCUGUUAUUAGGGAAGAACAUAUGUGUAAGUAACUGUGCACAUCUUGACGGUACCUAAUCAGAAAGCCACGGCUAACUACGUG